Molecule: unclassified non-coding RNA, 168 nt
Filed under: soil metagenome
Description: partial internal transcribed spacer 1
Source: RNAcentral
CGAAAGCGUUUUUAACAGCGCAAAACCCACUGUGAACAUACCUGUUUGUUGCUUCGGCAGGCGGCCCCAGGGCGGGGCCAGCAGCCUGUAUCUUUUUCAGGCGCCUGCCGGAGGCCACUUCAAACUCUUUUGUAUACGUACUGUCUGAGCCUAAAACAAAAUACGUUA